GUGCGCUCUACGCGCAUCUGAGUUUGAAAGUAGCCAACGCGUGUUUAUAUAGACUGGAUACUUUGGUACAGGUUGACACACUCAACGAAGCAGGGGCUGAACAGUCAGGAGGCGGGUUAUGGAUCUUUGUAGUAAAACGUUAAUUGGCUACACAAGAUCAUAACAUGAAUAAUACAUUUCAUAAGACGCAUGACCAAUUGUAGCUUACGUUUUCUUCUUUAGCCAAUUGAAACAUAAAGCAGGCACUAAAUUGAUUGAAAUGCUCACCAUUGGUCAGAACAGAGCAGAGGCGGGGCUACAAUGUAAAUAUGGUUGUAGUUCUAUAAAUAUUCAAUAAAAUGCAGUGUGGUUGGUCAAUUACCUCAUUAAUAAACAGAGAUUAACCAAUGGCUAUAGAGAUACGAUGGCGUUGGAAAACCCCGCCUUAUUUCCGAUUUUUGCCGAACUUCACCGAUUCUUAUUUUUCCUCUCUAAGCUAUUUUUUUUUUUUAAAUCCGUGUUGUCUCGUUCGUCUCGCUCUGGAUAGGCUACAACUCUUGGAAAAGAAGCUCGUUCACGAGGCCUACCUCGACCUUUCGGAAAUCAAAGACUUAUUUAAAGUGGUUUUUCGCUUAGUAUUAUUAUUUUUAAACCAGUUAAAACUAGUCAUUUUUCUUAUUUUUUUAAGAAGAUGUCGAAGUUACUAUUACUUUACAACAACAUUUUGGUUUUUUACGGGACUACGCGAGAAUCCUCGGUCUCAAGUGGAAACCAUGCCGGCGUGGUCAGUGUUAUUUGAAGUACUCCAACUGGGAAAAUCCGACAAAAGCCUGCGGUGUUUAAUACAAUAACGGUGAAAGACGUUACCGUAAUUUAUAACGGGAAAGCUUGAAAUACUAGUUUUUAGAGUACAUUUCGUUAAUGUUAUGUACAUUUUUAUUUAUAUUCUGAAAUAGGGACGAGAUUGGAAGGCCACGUCUAAAACGAAGUGACCCAGCUUGGCUUUGGCGGUAACUGUCUAGACGGCAAGCCAAAGUCUAUGUAAAAUCCGAUUUCCACAUAGUAGUACUAGAAUAUUUGGUUCCGCAGAAAACAAAAGUUUGUUCCAAUUAGGCACCAUACCUGACCAACUAAUUGGUCAUUUCGGCGAUUGCCCAAAUUCAACACACUUUCCCUUUUCACUCCAGGACCAGCGUUGCCUACCCCUGGCUAAGUAGUUAGCACGAUGUAGCUCAUGUUAGUUGCCAGCUAGCUAACGUCGGUACCCCUUUGUAGGCACUGUUAAAACCCGCGAUUGAAUAGGCUAUGCAACUAACGAUGGAAAAUUAGCAACAAAUGUUUUAUACUAUUUUAGCGCUGGUUUUGUUUAAAUAUCACCGAGUACAAUAGAGACGCAUUGGCUUGCUAGUUAGUUUCAUUUUUUAAAUAGGAAAACAUCUAGCUAAUAUACCUAGCUAGUUACAAGCAAAAUGGCAUCCGGAGCGACCAGGUACCAGAAGUGUUUUCACCAUGGAAGGACCUGGUUGUUGCCACUGACUGGCUCAGGAGUGGACCAGCCACUGUAGACAUUGUUCACAAAACUCUUGCUACAGAACAUUACCACAAGACCAAGAGGUCUUCAACUAAAAAUGUACACCUAAAAGCUGAUGUAACAUAUUGUAGAAUGUUGUCCCCCUUAACAACUUUUUUGUUUGUUCUUGCAUGAGUGUGUAGCUAGGAGGACUUUUUAAAGACUAAAGCAAGUAGGUUUAACAGGGAGGUUGUUCCAGAUAUAUGAUCACAUUGAUUGCACUGCAUCGGUUGAUUUUUAAACGGCAUGUCCAUAAACCAAUCGGUUUGCAUUACCGAUUUGCAAAUACUUUUCUUAGUGGCUAGGCUCUUCUGUAUGCUGUUCCUUUUUAAAGUAUAGAAUGGUAGUUGCAAAUGUACACCCCCGAUUGUUGAGUGAUUUUAAAUGAAAGGAUUGUAGUAACUGUAUUUUGUUUAAAGUAAUAAAGAAAUCAAAGUUA
Long non-coding RNA from Oncorhynchus nerka (sockeye salmon), 1988 nucleotides. RefSeq lists it as uncharacterized. NCBI's taxonomy places the organism in Eukaryota, Metazoa, Chordata, Actinopteri, Salmoniformes, Salmonidae. The transcript has 2 exons. The record is from RefSeq and is a predicted model, not a curated record.